GCUUCUCUGGCGUAAAGGGUAGCGUAGCUGAUUUGUAAUCUUCAGGUGUCGGUUCAAAUCCGACGGGAAGCU
RNAcentral lists this transfer RNA (72 nucleotides) under Eubacteriales bacterium. Its description in RNAcentral is "tRNA-Thr". It matches the Rfam family "tRNA". From Rfam's summary of the family: Transfer RNA (tRNA) molecules are approximately 80 nucleotides in length. Their secondary structure includes four short double-helical elements and three loops (D, anti-codon, and T loops). The record is from RNAcentral. Lineage: Bacteria; Bacillati; Bacillota; Clostridia; Eubacteriales.